AGGAAUAUUGGUCAAUGGACGAGAGUCUGAACCAGCCAAGUAGCGUGAAGGAUGACUGCCCUAUGGGUUGUAAACUUCUUUUAUACGGGAAUAAAGUGGAGUAUGCAUACUCCUUUGUAUGUACCGUAUGGAUAAGGAUCGGCUAACUCCGUGCCAGCAGCCGCGGUAAUACGGAGGAUCCGAGCGUUAUCCGGAUUUAUUGGGUUUAAAGGGAGCGUAGAUGGGUUGUUAAGUCAGUUGUGAAAGUUUGCGGCUCAACCGUAAAAUUGCAAUUGAUACUGGCAGUCUUGAGUACAGUUGAGGUAGGCGGAAUUCGUGGUGUAGCGGUGAAAUGCUUAGAUAUCACGAAGAACUCCGAUUGCGAAGGCAGCUUACUAACCUGUAACUGACAUUGAUGCUCGAAAGUGUGGGUAUCAAACAGGAUUAGAUACCCUGGUAGUCCACACGGUAAACGAUGAAUACUCGCUGUAGGCGAUAUACAGUCUGCGGCCAAGCGAAAGCAUUAAGUAUUCCACCUGGGGAGUACGCCGGCAACGGUGAAACUCAAAGGAAUUGACGGGGGCCCGCACAAGCGGAGGAACAUGUGGUUUAAUUCGAUGAUACGCGAGGAACCUUACCCGGGCUUAAAUUGCAACCGAAUAUGGCGGAAACGCUAUAGCUAGCAAUAGCGGUUGUGAAGGUGCUGCAUGGCUGUCGUCAGCUCGUGCCGUGAGGUGUCGGCUUAAGUGCCAUAACGAGCGCAACCCUUGCCGAUAGUUACUAACAGGUUAUGCUGAGGACUCUGUCGGGACUGCCAUCGUAAGAUGUGAGGAAGGUGGGGAUGACGUCAAAUCAGCACGGCCCUUACGUCCGGGGCUACACACGUGUUACAAUGGGGGGUACAGAGGGCUGCUACCACGCAAGUGGAUGCCAAUCCCAAAAACCUCUCUCAGUUCGGAUUGAAGUCUGCAACCCGACUUCAUGAAGCUGGAUUCGCUAGUAAUCGCGCAUCAGCCACGGCGCGGUGAAUACGUUCCCG
Molecule: ribosomal RNA, 1018 nt
Filed under: uncultured bacterium
Lineage: Bacteria
Description: bacterial SSU rRNA
Rfam family: Bacterial small subunit ribosomal RNA
Source: RNAcentral